RNAcentral lists this ribosomal RNA (235 nucleotides) under Acinetobacter baumannii. RNAcentral describes it as "partial 16S ribosomal RNA". It matches the Rfam family "Bacterial small subunit ribosomal RNA", at positions 1 to 239 of the family's 1533-position model. Lineage: Bacteria; Pseudomonadati; Pseudomonadota; Gammaproteobacteria; Moraxellales; Moraxellaceae. The record is from RNAcentral.
AACUGAAGAGUUUGAUCAUGGCUCAGAUUGAACGCUGGCGGCAGGCUUAACACAUGCAAGUCGAGCGGGGGAAGGUAGCUUGCUACUGGACCUAGCGGCGGACGGGUGAGUAAUGCUUAGGAAUCUGCCUAUUAGUGGGGGACAACAUCUCGAAAGGGAUGCUAAUACCGCAUACGUCCUACGGGAGAAAGCAGGGGAUCUUCGGACCUUGCGCUAAUAGAUGAGCCUAAGUCGG